This 24-nucleotide microRNA is filed under the name Ciona intestinalis (vase tunicate). RNAcentral describes it as "Cin-Mir-4011-P1_3p* (star (passenger))". The record is from RNAcentral. Lineage: Eukaryota; Metazoa; Chordata; Ascidiacea; Phlebobranchia; Cionidae.
CGAUUUUUGCUUUCCACUGCACAA